AGAUCAUUUUAAAUAAAAAAGUCAGGUCAAGGUGUAGCAAAUGGGGUGGAAAGAAAUGGGCUACAUUUUCUAUUAUAGAAUAUACAGAAUGCUUUAUGAAAUAUGGUAUGAAGGAGGAUUUAGAAGUAAAAGGAAAAAAGAGUGUUCCUUUUAAAUCGGCAAUAGAACGCGCACACACCGCCCGUCACCCUCCUUAUAUAUCAAAAAAUUAAAUAAAUA
RNAcentral lists this unclassified non-coding RNA (219 nucleotides) under Aneides flavipunctatus (black salamander). RNAcentral's name for it is "partial contains 12 ribosomal RNA and tRNA-Val". The record is from RNAcentral. Lineage: Eukaryota; Metazoa; Chordata; Amphibia; Caudata; Plethodontidae.